RNAcentral lists this long non-coding RNA (213 nucleotides) under Erythranthe guttata (spotted monkey flower). Its description in RNAcentral is "long non-coding RNA (EGUT_LNC000633)". The record is from RNAcentral. Lineage: Eukaryota; Viridiplantae; Streptophyta; Magnoliopsida; Lamiales; Phrymaceae.
AAGAAAGAAAAGCGAAAUGAAAUUGAAUAAACGGGGCCACAGCGAGGAUUUUCGGAAUCGAGCUGCUUGAGAAAUUAAACAAAAAGAAAAGAAUGGCCGCUGUGGAUUGGAGGGGAGAAAACGAACGGCGCCGUUUCGACAGUAAAUGGGCCGUAAGAAAAGGAGAAAGAAAAUAGAAAAGGGGGAAAAUGUGGGCCCCCACUUCCCAAGACA